UGUGGACGCCAGUCUGCAUGGAGCCGACCUUGAAAUACCACCCUUUAAUGUUUGAUGUUCUAACGUUGGCCCCUAAUCGGGGUUGCGGACAGUGUCUGGUGGGUAGUUUGACUGGGGCGGUCUCCUCCUAAAGAGUAACGGAGGAGCACGAAGGUUGGCUAAUCCUGGUCGGACAUCAGGAGGUUAGUGCAAUGGCAUAAGCCAGCUUGACUGCGAGCGUGACGGCGCGAGCAGGUGCGAAAGCAGGUCAUAGUGAUCCGGUGGUUCUGAAUGGAAGGGCCAUCGCUCAACGGAUAAAAGGUACUCCGGGGAUAACAGGCUGAUACCGCCCAAGAGUUCAUAUCGACGGCGGUGUUUGGCACCUCGAUGUCGGCUCAUCACAUCCUGGGGCUGAAGUAGGUCCCAAGGGUAUGGCUGUUCGCCAUUUAAAGUGGUACGCGAGCUGGGUUUAGAACGUCGUGAGACAGUUCGGUCCCUAUCUGCCGUGGGCGCUGGAGAACUGAGGGGGGCUGCUCCUAGUACGAGAGGACCGGAGUGGACGCAUCACUGGUGUUCGGGUUGUCAUGCCAAUGGCACUGCCCGGUAGCUAAAUGCGGAAGAGAUAAGUGCUGAAAGCAUCUAAGCACGAAACUUGCCCCGAGAUGAGUUCUCCCUGACUCCCUGAG
Molecule: ribosomal RNA, 665 nt
Filed under: Escherichia coli
Lineage: Bacteria; Pseudomonadati; Pseudomonadota; Gammaproteobacteria; Enterobacterales; Enterobacteriaceae
Description: partial 23S ribosomal RNA
Rfam family: Bacterial large subunit ribosomal RNA
Source: RNAcentral